Molecule: long non-coding RNA, 609 nt
Organism: Ahaetulla prasina
Lineage: Eukaryota; Metazoa; Chordata; Lepidosauria; Squamata; Colubridae
Exons: 3
Source: RefSeq, a predicted model, not a curated record
GAAGACACCCAAGCCUUUAUUUUCUUUUGCAGAAGACGAACCUUUUCUGCAGGAAGUGGAGAUGGUGGAGACCUUCUCAGUGGGCCAGGAAAACAGUGGGGAAAUUGAGCAGGCAGAAAAUUGCUCAUUUGGACUGCAACGGAGGCUGUUUAUUUCGGGUUAAAGGACGACCCGGCUUACUGCAGAAAAGCUGUGAGGCUAACAGUGCGUCGAAACCAAAAUAAGAAGCACACAAAAGUAGGCGACAAGAUACAGGCCACCCAGAGUCAUCGGAAACGAGAUGUGCAGCAAAUAAGUUUCAUAAAUAAUUAGCUAAAUGUAUGUAGUCCUCGACUUACAACGGCUUGUUCAGUGACGGUUCGAAGUUACAACGGCACUGAAAAAUGUGACUUGUGCCCGUUUUUCACACUUACAACCGUUGCAGCAUCCCCCUGGGUCACAUGAUCAAGAUUUGGAUGCUUAGCAACUUAGUGACUCAUACUUAUGACGGUCACAGUGUCCCAACCUUCUGACCAGCAAAAUCAACGGGGAAGCCAGAUUCAUUUAACAGCCUGGUUCCCAAAUUAACAACUGGGGUGAUUCCCUUGACAACUAUGGCCAGAAAAGUCG